GUACACAAAAAUGCACAUAUUGUGAGCUCGAUGAGUAGGGCGGGACACGUGGUAUCCUGUCUGAAUAUGGGGGGACCAUCCUCCAAGGCUAAAUACUCCUGACUGACCGAUAGUGAACCAGUACCGUGAGGGAAAGGCGAAAAGAACCCCGGCGAGGGGAGUGAAAAAGAACCUGAAACCGUGUACGUACAAGCAGUGGGAGCCUCUUUAUGGGGUGACUGCGUACCUUUUGUAUAAUGGGUCAGCGACUUAUAUUCUGUAGCAAGGUUAACCGAAUAGGGGAGCCGAAGGGAAACCGAGUCUUAACUGGGCGUUAAGUUGCAGGGUAUAGACCCGAAACCCGGUGAUCUAGCCAUGGGCAGGUUGAAGGUUGGGUAACACUAACUGGAGGACCGAACCGACUAAUGUUGAAAAAUUAGCGGAUGACUUGUGGCUGGGGGUGAAAGGCCAAUCAAACCGGGAGAUAGCUGGUUCUCCCCGAAAGCUAUUUAGGUAGCGCCUCGUGAAUUCAUCUCCGGGGGUAGAGCACUGUUUCGGCAAGGGGGUCAUCCCGACUUACCAACCCGAUGCAAACUGCGAAUACCGGAGAAUGUUAUCACGGGAGACACACGGCGGGUGCUAACGUCCGUCGUGAAGAGGGAAACAACCCAGACCGCCAGCUAAGGUCCCAAAGUCAUGGUUAAGUGGGAAACGAUGUGGGAAGGCCCAGACAGCCAGGAUGUUGGCUUAGAAGCAGCCAUCAUUUAAAGAAAGCGUAAUAGCUCACUGGUCGAGUCGGCCUGCGCGGAAGAUGUAACGGGGCUAAACCAUGCACCGAAGCUGCGGCAGCGACACUAUGUGUUGUUGGGUAGGGGAGCGUUCUGUAAGCCUGUGAAGGUGGCCUGUGAGGGUUGCUGGAGGUAUCAGAAGUGCGAAUGCUGACAUAAGUAACGAUAAAGCGGGUGAAAAGCCCGCUCGCCGGAAGACCAAGGGUUCCUGUCCAACGUUAAUCGGGGCAGGGUGAGUCGACCCCUAAGGCGAGGCCGAAAGGCGUAGUCGAUGGGAAACAGGUUAAUAUUCCUGUACUUGGUGUUACUGCGAAGGGGGGACGGAGAAGGCUAUGUUGGCCGGGCGACGGUUGUCCCGGUUUAAGCGUGUAGGCUGGUUUUCCAGGCAAAUCCGGAAAACCAAGGCUGAGGCGUGAUGACGAGGCACUACGGUGCUGAAGCGACAAAUGCCCUGCUUCCAGGAAAAGCCUCUAAGCAUCAGGUAACAUCAAAUCGUACCCCAAACCGACACAGGUGGUCAGGUAGAGAAUACCAAGGCGCUUGAGAGAACUCGGGUGAAGGAACUAGGCAAAAUGGUGCCGUAACUUCGGGAGAAGGCACGCUGAUAUGUAGGUGAAGCGACUUGCUCGUGGAGCUGAAAUCAGUCGAAGAUACCAGCUGGCUGCAACUGUUUAUUAAAAACACAGCACUGUGCAAACACGAAAGUGGACGUAUACGGUGUGACGCCUGCCCGGUGCCGGAAGGUUAAUUGAUGGGGUUAGCGGUAACGCGAAGCUCUUGAUCGAAGCCCCGGUAAACGGCGGCCGUAACUAUAACGGUCCUAAGGUAGCGAAAUUCCUUGUCGGGUAAGUUCCGACCUGCACGAAUGGCGUAAUGAUGGCCAGGCUGUCUCCACCCGAGACUCAGUGAAAUUGAACUCGCUGUGAAGAUGCAGUGUACCCGCGGCAAGACGGAAAGACCCCGUGAACCUUUACUAUAGCUUGACACUGAACAUUGAGCCUUGAUGUGUAGGAUAGGUGGGAGGCUUUGAAGUGUGGACGCCAGUCUGCAUGGAGCCGACCUUGAAAUACCACCCUUUAAUGUUUGAUGUUCUAACGUUGGCCCGUAAUCCGGGUUGCGGACAGUGUCUGGUGGGUAGUUUGACUGGGGCGGUCUCCUCCUAAAGAGUAACGGAGGAGCACGAAGGUUGGCUAAUCCUGGUCGGACAUCAGGAGGUUAGUGCAAUGGCAUAAGCCAGCUUGACUGCGAGCGUGACGGCGCGAGCAGGUGCGAAAGCAGGUCAUAGUGAUCCGGUGGUUCUGAAUGGAAGGGCCAUCGCUCAACGGAUAAAAGGUACUCCGGGGAUAACAGGCUGAUACCGCCCAAGAGUUCAUAUCGACGGCGGUGUUUGGCACCUCGAUGUCGGCUCAUCACAUCCUGGGGCUGAAGUAGGUCCCAAGGGUAUGGCUGUUCGCCAUUUAAAGUGGUACGCGAGCUGGGUUUAGAACGUCGUGAGACAGUUCGGUCCCUAUCUGCCGUGGGCGCUGGAGAACUGAGGGGGG
This 2308-nucleotide ribosomal RNA is filed under the name Escherichia coli. Its description in RNAcentral is "partial 23S ribosomal RNA". It matches the Rfam family "Bacterial large subunit ribosomal RNA", at positions 375 to 2671 of the family's 2925-position model. The record is from RNAcentral. Lineage: Bacteria; Pseudomonadati; Pseudomonadota; Gammaproteobacteria; Enterobacterales; Enterobacteriaceae.